Molecule: transfer RNA, 72 nt
Filed under: Actinomycetota bacterium
Lineage: Bacteria; Bacillati; Actinomycetota
Description: tRNA-Lys
Rfam family: tRNA
About the family: Transfer RNA (tRNA) molecules are approximately 80 nucleotides in length. Their secondary structure includes four short double-helical elements and three loops (D, anti-codon, and T loops). Further hydrogen bonds mediate the characteristic L-shaped molecular structure. tRNAs have two regions of fundamental functional importance: the anti-codon, which is responsible for specific mRNA codon recognition, and the 3' end, to which the tRNAs corresponding amino acid is attached (by aminoacyl-tRNA synthetases). tRNAs cope with the degeneracy of the genetic code in two manners: having more than one tRNA (with a specific anti-codon) for a particular amino acid; and 'wobble' base-pairing, i.e. permitting non-standard base-pairing at the 3rd anti-codon position.
Source: RNAcentral
GGGCCGUUAGCUCAAUGGCAGAGCAGCGGACUUUUAAUCCGUAGGUUCUGGGUUCGAGUCCCAGGCGGCCCA